Long non-coding RNA from Girardinichthys multiradiatus, 2753 nucleotides. RefSeq lists it as uncharacterized. The transcript is spliced from 8 exons. The record is from RefSeq and is a predicted model, not a curated record. Lineage: Eukaryota; Metazoa; Chordata; Actinopteri; Cyprinodontiformes; Goodeidae.
CUGAGUGGCCGCGCAGAGGUCAGCGCUUUGCGCCUUGGCGCUGUUUGGACGCUAGAGCUUCACACGUUUUUGCGCCGCAGGGUUGCCGCAAUUUUACAACCCUUCAGUAUCAUACUCAGCCAUUUAAAGCAGAGGGUUUUUUUUUUUUUUUUUUUGAAAUCUUGGUUUACAAAUUUUAUGGCUCAGUUUCAGAAGUUGAUGGGGGAAAUGCGCCCAGUAAGCACAAGCAGCCUGGUCGUUGCCAGACGCUUUGUAGAAAUGUAAGGCCUGAACGCAAAGACUUGUUUUCUUACCAAAGGAUUUCCACAACUCCAGGCUUCUCCACCUGGUCUCCAGGAGUUGCACCGUUUUUACGCACAUCUGAAGAGGAGGCGCUGGCGGCGCGCCUCUCACGGUAAGAAUCAAGGCUGGAAAACUGAAGAAGAAGUAGAAAACAUUAAAGAUAGAACUAAAUGAAGUCACAGGAGAAGGACUCUGACGCUGAGCAGCUGAAGACAUGGCCAUCCUGACACAGACUCAUCUGUGCUGUGGACGCUGCACCGCCUGGACGAUCCAUGUGGGUGUCCCUGUAAUCCGAGGUGGUAACUCCCCUCCAAAUUGUUUCCAUGUUUCCUUCAGAAGCAGGAUUAAAUGACAAAGAUCAGAUACCUCCACUGAUCUCCUCCGUUGUGAUGGUGAAUCCAUAAAAACGGAACCCGGAGUGCUCCGGGACUGCAGUUGAUUUCUACAAGGAUUUUCUGUUAAUUGAGUCACAAACAAAGCAGGAACUCAGGCCGAAGCCUCGAAGGAGAGCAUGUCCAGAAGGCUCAUUGGAGGAACGCUGAACCUCUUUCUGUCUCAGCAGGACUUCAGAGGAGACCCGAACAAUUCUGGCUGCAGAUCUUCACCGAAAAACUGGCAGAGAUGAUUAAACAUCCAAGCAGCCGGCCACCCAGGAUGUCGAUAACAGCCCGUACCAACUACACACACGACACAGGCAUGGGAAAGAAACGUGCAACAAAUGAAGCACUUUUGGACCUUCUACGGUGUCUUCAAAGAAAGCAAAACAAGCAAACCGCCUGCUGAGAGCUGCUGCAACUGAGAAAGAGCUAAUCUCUGUGAAGGAGGAGGAGGCCGGAAAGCUGAAGGACGCUCCGGAGAAAACAGGUGGAAGAAGCUGGAGAAGAGGCAGGUCAUCCUGAGAGCUGCUAAUCAACACAAACACCUCAGCAGGAAGCAGCAGCCUCUCAGAAAGGACGAUAAGAAUCAGAUGUGUGUGUAGACUGCAAAAUUUUAAUCAUCAUCUCCAAUCACGUUUCCAGCCGCUCCAGGCUUGUACAAACCAACUGGAGAUCCCACAGUGGUUGCUGGGAUGAAGCAUAGAGACAAUAUGCUGGCUUUGAGGUUAAGGAACUGUGCAAGCUCCUGGAGCAGGUUGGUGAGGGUGGGUCUGCUCAGAUUGAUCAGCAGAAGAAAGGGAAACUUUUCUUGAAGCUGAGCUGAGACCUGGAGCAAGCUGUAGUGAGGCCUGCAGAGGUGCUGCAGAGCUGAAGGAUCGAGAACUGAGGCCAUUCUGAAGAAUUCACCAUGAGACUGAGAGGACAAGGAAAUCAUGAUUUCAAUUCAUUUCCACUCAAGAUGAUGUUCAGUUGAGGCACUAAGCGAAGUAAAGGUGAUGGAGCACAACGAUACUGACUGAACAGCAGUAGAAAUGGGACACUCAGAAGGAGCAUUGCUGCAUGAGGACAAACCUCUAAAAAAAGACUUUCAGAGACCAUCAAGACAGAGAGCAAGAACCUCCAAAGUUCAGCUCUAUGAAAAUCAUGAAAUAAAGUGUUCUUCAUGCAAACACAACAAAACUCCAGAUUCUGUAGAAAAAAAAAAAAUCACUUGCAAUCCCAUUGUGAUGCAAAGGACAGGUUAAAUCGCAGGAUGACAAACGUCCAGCGUGAACAAAGGGCCGAAGCAACAAGCUCUCCAAACUGUCUACAACACGGCUCAUAAUGCGGCAGAAUGGAACCACAUGACCUUUGGAAGAACUUAUUAAAAUUAGCCAGCAGGCUUAUAACAAGAACUAAAUUUAGUCUAGGCUGGAUGUAAUCCUGUCGAAAAUGAACUCGCACAGCCGUCUCAUAUGAUGCCUCAUGUGGUUCCGAGUGUCUUUGGCGCUGUGUACACCGCUGCUAAUAAACACGUCCACCUGGUGCAUCUCAGUUUGUCAAGUGAUGCAAAGAGGAACGCCACAGCCAAACAUUACAUCACCGCAGACACACCCCAAGAUUUAUUUAUGGGAGCAGGGUGUUCACUGAAGAGAUUCUGAAGUUGACUUUUUAUAUUAAACUUGUUUAAGAAUAAUUUAAAAGGUUCAGUACAAGUAUUCAAGGUGGAGCCAGAGGGUAAGGAAGAGAGGUAACAGAAGAAGCUAAAAUGAACUCAGAUGAGAAAAAUGUGCCGUUUCCGUCAGUUUUUCUAUGACUGAGACUUACCAUCAUUUACUUGUUGCUUUCUGCAACAAUCACCAGGACGAGAAUUAAGAUGAGUCAAACAGCCCAUCUCAAAACAUCUGAUUUCUAUAUGUCAAUGUUAUAACACUGUAGUAACAGAUAAACCAUCAGAUGUCCCUAAAGUUUUCUUUAAACUGAUGGAAUCAAUCAUAAAAUCGUAAAGGAGAAAAGAAGCAUGUUCAACGUUUUUACAAACGACGAUCUUAAAGUGUGGAGUGCAUUUGUACCCCCUUUACUCUGACACUGAAAAAAUAAAGCUACUGCAACCAA